GGUCAGAUGUGGGAGAAGGUGGCCACCCACUCGCAGAGUUAUUGGGAAGGGGAAUGACUUAAAACCUCAUUUCCUCUGAACAGUCUGAAAGUGCAGGAAAAAAGUGGGGACUUCUGGGGAGGCAGCUGGCACGGAGGAGUGGAGUUGCAGGUUUCUGGCCCUGGCACCUCCCUGCCUGUUUUUGAGGCUGUCCAUCAAGUCAGUGAGGGGAGGGAGAGCAGCAAGUGCAGGACAGAUGUAGAAGAACAAGGCUGGAUUUCCAUUCCCAGUACCCCCGGAUUGUCCCUUUGCAAAUAGGGACAAUCAAAAGCAUCCCCACACUCCCUGACGAGGUGGUGGGGUCCUUUGGAGAAGCAGUUUAAUUGCUCUCAGCGGCCCAAACCAGCCCUGUUCCUACAGCAGGGUUGAGACCAACCCAAACAAACGCCCUGGUGGAGUAAAACCGAGAUAGGCUGAGAACCUUCGGGGACCGGUGUAAAUCAGCGUCCCUGCACUGGCUCUGGUGGAGCCGUGCCAAAUUCCACCAGCUGAGGGUCUGGAUUGCAUAUUCUACCUAUAAAAAUGGUGUUUAGGAUAUCUUGGCAAAAGAAGGUAUUUUUGCAACCCACUUAUAA
This 614-nucleotide long non-coding RNA is filed under the name Anser brachyrhynchus (Pink-footed goose). Its description in RNAcentral is "lncRNA (ENSABRG00000010524.1)". The record is from RNAcentral. Lineage: Eukaryota; Metazoa; Chordata; Aves; Anseriformes; Anatidae.